GGGCCUGUAGCUCAGCAUGGAUAGAGCACCGGCCUCCGGAGCCGGAGAUCCCGGGUUCAAAUCCCGGCAGGCCCG
RNAcentral lists this transfer RNA (75 nucleotides) under Candidatus Bathyarchaeota archaeon. RNAcentral's name for it is "tRNA-Arg". It matches the Rfam family "tRNA". Rfam says of the family: Transfer RNA (tRNA) molecules are approximately 80 nucleotides in length. Their secondary structure includes four short double-helical elements and three loops (D, anti-codon, and T loops). Further hydrogen bonds mediate the characteristic L-shaped molecular structure. tRNAs have two regions of fundamental functional importance: the anti-codon, which is responsible for specific mRNA codon recognition, and the 3' end, to which the tRNAs corresponding amino acid is attached (by aminoacyl-tRNA synthetases). tRNAs cope with the degeneracy of the genetic code in two manners: having more than one tRNA (with a specific anti-codon) for a particular amino acid; and 'wobble' base-pairing, i.e. permitting non-standard base-pairing at the 3rd anti-codon position. The record is from RNAcentral. Lineage: Archaea; Thermoproteati; Candidatus Bathyarchaeota. RNAcentral also lists the same sequence under 1 other name.